CUGAGUGGCGGACGGGUGAGUGACGCGUGGGUAACCUGCCUCAUACAGGGGGAUAACAGUUAGAAAUGACUGCUAAUACCGCAUAAGCGCACGGUGCUGCAUGGCACAGUGUGAAAAACUCCGGUGGUAUGAGAUGGACCCGCGUCUGAUUAGCUAGUUGGUGGGGUAACGGCCUACCAAGGCGACGAUCAGUAGCCGGCCUGAGAGGGUGAACGGCCACAUUGGGACUGAGACACGGCCCAAACUCCUACGGGAGGCAGCAGUGGGGAAUAUUGCACAAUGGGGGAAACCCUGAUGCAGCGACGCCGCGUGAGCGAAGAAGUAUUUCGGUAUGUAAAGCUCUAUCAGCAGGGAAGAAAAUGACGGUACCUGACUAAGAAGCACCGGCUAAAUACGUGCCAGCAGCCGCGGUAAUACGUAUGGUGCAAGCGUUAUCCGGAUUUACUGGGUGUAAAGGGAGCGUAGACGGUUGUGUAAGUCUGAUGUGAAAGCCCGGGGCUCAACCCCGGGACUGCAUUGGAAACUAUGUAACUAGAGUGUCGGAGAGGUAAGCGGAAUUCCUAGUGUAGCGGUGAAAUGCGUAGAUAUUAGGAGGAACACCAGUGGCGAAGG
This 612-nucleotide ribosomal RNA is filed under the name uncultured Lachnospiraceae bacterium. RNAcentral describes it as "bacterial SSU rRNA". It matches the Rfam family "Bacterial small subunit ribosomal RNA", at positions 91 to 721 of the family's 1533-position model. The record is from RNAcentral. Lineage: Bacteria; Bacillati; Bacillota; Clostridia; Lachnospirales; Lachnospiraceae.